UACGAAGGCAGCAGUGGGGAAUAUUGCACAAUGGGCGCAAGCCUGAUGCAGCCAUGCCGCGUGUAUGAAGAAGGCCUUCGGGUUGUAAAGUACUUUCAGUCGUGAGGAAGGUGUUAAGGUUAAUAACCUUAGCAAUUGACGUUAGCGACAGAAGAAGCACCGGCUAACUCCGUGCCGGCAGCCGCGGUAAUACGGAGGGUGCGAGCGUUAAUCGGAAUUACUGGGCGUAAAGGGCACGCAGGCGGUUAAUUAAGUUGGAUGUGAAAUCCCCGGGCUUAACCUGGGAAUGGCAUUCAAGACUGGUUAGCUAGAGUCUUGUAGAGGGGGUAGAAUUCCAUGUGUAGCGGUGAAAUGCGUAGAGAUGUGGAGGAAUCCGGUGGCGAAGGCGGCCCCUGGACAAAGGCUGACGCUCAUGUGCGAAAGCGUGGGGAGCAAACAGGGAUUAGAUACC
This 451-nucleotide ribosomal RNA is filed under the name uncultured bacterium. Its description in RNAcentral is "bacterial SSU rRNA". It matches the Rfam family "Bacterial small subunit ribosomal RNA", at positions 340 to 786 of the family's 1533-position model. The record is from RNAcentral.